Molecule: ribosomal RNA, 499 nt
Filed under: uncultured Glomeromycotina
Lineage: Eukaryota; Fungi; Glomeromycota
Description: partial small subunit ribosomal RNA
Rfam family: Eukaryotic small subunit ribosomal RNA
Source: RNAcentral
CCAAUAGCGUAUAUUAAAGUUGUUGCAGUUAAAAAGCUCGUAGUUGAAUUUCGGGACCAUCAUGUUGGUCGUGCCUCGGUACGUACUGGCAUUGUUGGUUUCUCCCUUCUGACAAACCAUGAUGUCAUUUAUUUGGUGUUGUGGGAAAUCAGGACUGUUACUUUGAAAAAAUUAGAGUGUUUAAAGCAGGCUCACGCUUGAAUACAUUAGCAUGGAAUAAUGAAAUAGGACGUUUGAUUCUAUUUUGUUGGUUUCUAGGAUCGACGUAAUGAUUAAUAGGGAUAGUUGGGGGCAUUAGUAUUCAAUUGUCAGAGGUGAAAUUCUUGGAUUUAUUGAAGACUAACUACUGCGAAAGCAUUUGCCAAGGAUGUUUUCAUUAAUCAAGAACGAAAGUUAGGGGAUCGAAGACGAUCAGAUACCGUCGUAGUCUUAACCAUAAACUAUGCCGACUAGGGAUCGGAUGAUGUUAAUUUUUUAAUGACUCAUGCGGCGCCUUACG